CAAGUACUUCCUCCGUUCCAUAAUUCUUGUCUCAACUUUGCCCAAAAAUGGAUGUAUUUAUUCGUAAAAAAUGUCUAGAUACAUGUAAUAUUUUGACAAGAAUUAUGGAACGGAGUGAGUAUCAA
Molecule: non-coding RNA, 125 nt
Organism: Brachypodium distachyon (stiff brome)
Lineage: Eukaryota; Viridiplantae; Streptophyta; Magnoliopsida; Poales; Poaceae
Source: Rfam